UGUGGAGCGCACCCAGGGCGCGGUGGGCGCCCAGCCCGGAGUGCUGGGGCCGCCCUCAGCGGCGUCCCUGUGCUCGGAGCCGCCAGGUCUGAGCGUCUCCCCUCAGUCCUGGCGUUGCUUUUCGUCUUUUCCGAUCAGUCAGAGGGAAUUUCCCCGUUCCCCCCCCCCGUCCCCGUAGUCUGCGAGGGCAGGGUAUGGGCUUUCAGAAAAGGUAGCUUUUGUAGAACUGCUCCGCUUCUAUCCGGGUAAAUCCGGGGCAAUGAUGGUCCUCGAUGACGGCUGGAGAGUGAAAUAAGGGCGAACAUUCUGUGUUGUUACUUGAACUAAGACGGAACAAGAAAAGUUGAGGCUUGUGAAAUGCUGUUUGCAGUUUGUCUUGAAACCUACAGAAAAAGGCAUGUAAUUCAGUGUCCUGGACAUAAGCAGGAAGAAUGAAAGAUGGAAGAAUUUUCACUUUUCUGGCCUUUUCCUGAUGACAGUGGCUUUGACUGGGGGCCCUGAUCUCCCAAACACUGAUUGUCUUAUGUUCCUCAAUUCUGAAAACCUUCAAGCAUACAGUCAGGUGUCCUGCCAGCAGCUCUGCAGCAGUCAAUGCUUUUGCAAUACCGAGCUCUGCUCAUUUCAAAAUUGUGAAGCAAUCCAGCUUAGCAGUCAGCAGAGUGUAAAACUGAAUAGUAGGAAGCAUUGGAGAGCACCUACUCCAGUUUCAAGCAGAAGAAAGCCUUAAAACUUCAAGGAUCAGAAUGCUGGGGCAUCUCCACUGACAGGAAAUCUAACAGGCAGAGAUGGGAAAAAAAUUAGGAGAUGAAUACACAAGAGGAGUUCUGCUGUACGCUGCAAAUUGCCCACUGUGGUACCAGACAGCCCUUGUUGAUCAUGCCUGAAGAACAUAUUCUUUCUCUGAAUAUGAAGCAUGGCAACCCACUGUACUAGGGCUCAGGAUUGAUAUUGCUGUCCUGCAGGGAUAAUUGGGAAUUUACCAAACCAGAGCAACAGAUGCCUUGAGAGACGCAAGUAUCUUUCAGGAGCUGCCUUAUCAUGUACCUGUCAUAAAGCCAAAGUAGGAGCAACUGUUCAUUCUAAGGAAAUGCAAGGAAAAGAAUUGCUCCACCUUGCAGGUACAAAACAAGAUGCCACGUUCCUCACAGCGGCCAGAGUUGGCAUGGAUGACCAGCUCUCCCAGUGGGACCUGCUUCCCUGUGGGAAGAUGCUGCCCAGGACAGUAACGUUUCUGCUACUAGAGCUGAGGGGAAAGGCCAUAUUUGGGACCUGAUGUUAGGUCAGAAUUGGAGCUGGAACUUUGAAUACAAUUUUUUUCCCCCCAAAAUGGUCCUGUACUCUACUCUCUCAGCCUUGUCCUCAGCUAACGUGUUGCAGUAUUGCUUAGGGGUGAGCUGUGCUGAUGCCACUGCUGUACUCUUGCUGGUUUGGAGCAUGGGGUCUGCCUGGCCAGGUCCGGGAGGAGCUGGGAAGAUGGACUGGCUUGCAGUGCUGUUUGAAAGCAGCACAGACCCGCCUGAAGAAGAAACUUGGAAUGUGGUGCCAGUACAACAGCAGACAGUGAGAGAAACCGAGGGAAGCACCUCCAAGAUAAGUAAUAAAUGAUAAUUGUUAUUUCCUAUUAUUCAUCUGAAUCUCUACUCCUGAGAAUUUGAGUUAAAUCCUAAAUUUUCCUUUAUUUUUAAGCAGAUCAUCCAGCAAGUUAAAAACCAGCAACACAAGGAGGUCCUAAGAUAGGGUUUGCUCCAGUUUUCCUGCUGAGCAUCUGUUUAGGAAUUGCUGCUAAAAAAAGUCAGAGGGGAUGGUAGUUGCUGUGCUGUCACAUGGGCUGAUACAGAGCAGAAUCUGCUUAGCAUUCUUGAAGGGAAAUUAUCCAGUGCUGUAACUCACAAUUUAUAAUUGGUUGCAUAUUAAUAUCUAAAAAAGGCAAUAAAAUCCACUAUGUGUUUAAAAAAAAUAGUAAGUAGGAGUAUUACAAGCUGAGCAGUGAAAAUCUGGAAGACUUCUUGGCUAGAGCAAGGCUGUGUGCAGUGCUGUUUCUCCCUUAAUUACAAGCAAUUUUAAAUCAUCUCCUUCCUUCAAAGAAGGAUUUUGUUCAGGGUGUGUGUUAAUUUUAAUCUUGCUAACGUGAUACUCUCUUGGAACCUCUCCCUUGUGUCAUAACAGUGAGAUGUGCUGCCUCUUUUGUCCCUGCCCUUUGGGAAAUGCAGUUACUGCUGCUCGUUGCCUCAACCCUGCCAUCGUGACUAUCAGUGUACCUCCCUUGAAAGGAGAAGAAAACAAAACCCAACAGCAGCAUUGCUUUUCCCCCCCCAGAGGUUCAAUUUAUUUGUACUAUUUAAGCUAGACUGUGCAAGUACUUCAUGAAAAUCAGGGAUUUAAAAUGUAUGGUACUGUAUUAUGCUGUAUUAUAGUGGAAAGCUUGUUAUUCAGCACACUAAUUAUUUCUGAGUCACUAUAUUUAUGAAAUGGCGUGUAAUAACUACUUCACCACCACGCAAAGUAAAUAGUAUAAAAGCAGGCAUUUUAUGAUUUUGACAUUUUAGUGUAUAAACAUAUUCCUGAAUCUCCUGGGGGGUUACUGGAAAUCAGAUAAUGUUUUUAUGACUUUUAAAAAAUGACAUUGAAUUUCACAGACUGUAACGCUCCAUAUAUAUGGUUAAUGUUGCAUAUUUUAUUACAGCCUCAGUGGCUUAUGUUACAAGUGUCAGCUGCAAAGAGAAAACGUACAAAGGCGGGUUUGUGGAACUGUGGGGGAAACAACAUCGUAAAACCUUGCAAUGCACACAUCAAAGCCCUUGGACAAGCUGUAAUGGCAGGUCCUGGGCCAUGCUGGGACACCAGAAUACACCCUCUGCUUUUUUUGGUGUCAGGAUGGAUUACAAAGCCCUCGCUGAAGGAGGGUUUCUGCCCACACUUGUCACUAGAGGAUAAGUAAGUUUGGGUUUUUGUCAAGCCCUGUGUGAAUGACCCGUUAACUCCAGAGGAACUGGGACGCCUUGAGUGACACUCUGCGAGCUGGACUGCACUGAGACUUCUGCAUUUCAGGAAUGUGACUCCUGUCCUUGACCUCGUCUGCACAUAAAUACAACAUGCCCCGUAGUGCUGAGUGGUUUGGGAAGAAUGUCAGCCAGACAAGAGGGGAGAUAAUGGAAAGACAGAAGAGAAGGUAUUUGACACUGUACAUAAAAUGAUGCAUCAUUUUUUUCAUAAUCAGAAGGACCCUUCUGGGAGUCACAGAAGAGUUGUUCACUCAGGUACUGACCUUAAAGGUGAGCAUUGGGUACUUUGGUGUAAUUAGCUGUGCUUGUUUUCACCAUCAAGCUCAUAAUAUUGAAUUAAGUAAAAAUGUGACAGUUUCCCUAGACCUCGGCUCAGAUCCUGAGCCACCCUCUGGAGCUGAGCUAUGGUUUGAGCUGGGUCACUGGCACAAACCAGGCUUGUGGCUGGCAGGACCAGUCAGGAGAUCUUUGCAAUGUAGGA
Molecule: long non-coding RNA, 3483 nt
Organism: Pipra filicauda (Wire-tailed manakin)
Lineage: Eukaryota; Metazoa; Chordata; Aves; Passeriformes; Pipridae
Exons: 12
Source: RefSeq, a predicted model, not a curated record